Molecule: transfer RNA, 70 nt
Filed under: Podarcis lilfordi (Lilford's wall lizard)
Lineage: Eukaryota; Metazoa; Chordata; Lepidosauria; Squamata; Lacertidae
Description: tRNA.Ala
Source: RNAcentral
GUUGUCAGCUCAGUGGUAGAGCAUCUGCCUUGCAUGCAGAAGGUCUCAAAUUCAAUCCCCAGCAUCUCCA